Molecule: ribosomal RNA, 564 nt
Filed under: uncultured Methanosarcinales archaeon
Lineage: Archaea; Methanobacteriati; Methanobacteriota; Methanomicrobia; Methanosarcinales
Description: bacterial SSU rRNA
Rfam family: Archaeal small subunit ribosomal RNA
Source: RNAcentral
GCGCGAAAACUUUACAAUGCGGGACACCGCGAUAAGGGGACCCCGAGUGCCAGCACCUAGUGCUGGCUGUCCAGCUGUUCAAAAAACAGUUGUUAGCAAGGGCCGGGCAAGACCGGUGCCAGCCGCCGCGGUAACACCGGCGGCCCGAGUGGUAGCCGUUAUUAUUGGGUUUAAAGGGUCCGUAGCCGGCCUAUUAAGUCUCUUGGGAAAUCUGGCGACUCAAUCGUCAGGCGUUCAAGAGAUACUGGUAGGCUUGGGACCGGGAGAGGUGGGAGGUACUCCAGGGGUAGGGGUGAAAUCUUGUAAUCCUUGUGGGACCACCAGUGGCGAAGGCGUCUUACCAGAACGGGUUCGACGGUGAGGGACGAAAGCUGGGGGCACGAACCGGAUUAGAUACCCGGGUAGUCCCAGCCGUAAACGAUGCUCGCUAGGUGUCUGGGAUGGUGCGACCGUUUCAGGUGCCGCAGGGAAGCCGUGAAGCGAGCCACCUGGGAAGUACGGCCGCAAGGCUGAAACUUAAAGGAAUUGGCGGGGGAGCACUACAACGGGUGGAGCCUGCGGUUU